UAUCUCUGUAGAGUCUGCAUAUCAAUAAGCGGAGGAAAAGAAACUAACAAGGAUUCCCCUAGUAACGGCGAGUGAAGCGGGAAGAGCUCAAAUUUGAAAUCUUAAAGGGUUUUCCCUUGACGAAUUGUAGUUUAAAGAAGUGUUUUCUGUUAGAGAGUUCGGUAAAAGUUCCUUUGGAAUAGGGACAUCAUAGAGGGUGAGAAUCCCGUAUUUGACCGUUAUUUUCAGCUGUGUGAUACACUUUCAAAGAGUCGGAUUGUUUGGGAAUGCAGUCCAAAAUGGGUGGUAAAUUUCAUCUAAAGCUAAAUAUUGGCGAGAGACCGAUAGCGAACAAGUACCGUGAGGGAAAGAUGAAAAGAACUUUGAAAAGAGAGUUAAACAGUACGUGAAAUUGUCAAAAGGGAAGCGUUUGACACCAGUGUUGUUUUCUCGAAAAUCAAUUAAAAAUGGCUUGAUUUUGUGUUGUAUUGACCUUAAAAGCUUUCUUCACUUUUUUCAUGUCUUUUUUAAUGCACUUUUCGUUUAACAAGUCAACAUCAGUUUCUUUUGUUGUAAAAAGGUCAUUGGAAGGUGGCUUUCUUUUCGGAGAAAGUGUUUAUAGCCUUUGACUCCUGCAAUCGGAGAGACUGAGGUCUGCAGCGUAGAUCCUUCUGGAUUAGAUUCAUUUGUGCUAAGUUACAACCGUUUAUAGACAACUUGUUGACUAUAUUCGAUCCUGUAGCUUACUCGCUUAUGUAAUUUUACCUACGCUUAGGAUGUUGACUGAUAUGUAGUCGU
Molecule: ribosomal RNA, 777 nt
Filed under: uncultured Neocallimastigales
Lineage: Eukaryota; Fungi; Neocallimastigomycota; Neocallimastigomycetes; Neocallimastigales
Description: partial large subunit ribosomal RNA
Rfam family: Eukaryotic large subunit ribosomal RNA
Source: RNAcentral